CCUACGGGAGGCAGCAGUGGGGAAUUUUGGACAAUGGGCGAAAGCCUGAUCCAGCAAUGCCGCGUGAGUGAAGAAGGCCUUCGGGUUGUAAAGCUCUUUUGUCAGGGAAGAAACGGUGAAAGCUAAUAUCUUUUGCUAAUGACGGUACCUGAAGAAUAAGCACCGGCUAACUACGUGCCAGCAGCCGCGGUAAUACGUAGGGUGCAAGCGUUAAUCGGAAUUACUGGGCGUAAAGCGUGCGCAGGCGGUUUUGUAAGUCUGAUGUGAAAUCCCCGGGCUCAACCUGGGAAUUGCAUUGGAGACUGCAAGGCUAGAAUCUGGCAGAGGGGGGUAGAAUUCCACGUGUAGCAGUGAAAUGCGUAGAUAUGUGGAGGAACACCGAUGGCGAAGGCAGCCCCCUGGGUCAAGAUUGACGCUCAUGCACGAAAGCGUGGGGAGCAAACAGGAUUAGAUACCCUGGUAGUCCACGCCCUAAACCGAUGUCUACUAGUUGUCGGGUCUUAAUUGACUUGGUAACGCNGCGUACGCGUGAGUAGACCGCCGNGGGUAAGGUACGGUCGCGAGAGUUAAACGUUACGAAGAAGUUAGAGGNGNGAGAGNGCGACGGCGACGACGAGGGAGGAGG
Molecule: ribosomal RNA, 625 nt
Filed under: uncultured bacterium
Lineage: Bacteria
Description: bacterial SSU rRNA
Rfam family: Bacterial small subunit ribosomal RNA (bases 1-542)
Source: RNAcentral